AAAAAGGGUCUCUGUCCUUAGUGGCACACAUAGGGCAACUCAAUUGUUUUUCAUGUGGAAUCCUCUAAAAAGUUUUCAGAGGUAUAAUUCUUUAGUUAUUUAGCAUCUGAUGAUUAUUGGCCUAGCACCC
RNAcentral lists this small nuclear RNA (130 nucleotides) under Marmota marmota marmota (Alpine marmot). RNAcentral's name for it is "U11 spliceosomal RNA (ENSMMMG00000000605.1)". It matches the Rfam family "U11 spliceosomal RNA". The record is from RNAcentral. Lineage: Eukaryota; Metazoa; Chordata; Mammalia; Rodentia; Sciuridae.